GGGUUGUGAGGUUAAGCGAAUAAGCGUACACGGUGGAUGCCUAGGCAAUCAGAGGCGAUGAAGGACGUGCUAAUCUGCGAAAAGCGUCGGUAAGGUGAUAUGAACCGUUAUACCCGACGAUAUCCGAAUGGGGAAACCCAGUAUCCAAUGGAUACUAUCAUUAACUGAAUCCAUAGGUUAAUGAGGCGAACCGGGAGAACUGAAACAUCUCAGUACCCCGAGGAAAAGAAAUCAACCGAGAUUCCCCUAGUAGCGGCGAGCGAACGGGGAGCAGCCCAGAGUCUUAAUCAAUAGCAGUGUCAGGAGAACGGUCUGGAAAGUCCGGCAGUAAAGGGUGAUAGCCCCGUAUCUGAAGAUGCUGUUAUUGUGAACUCGACGAGUAGGGCGGGACACGUGUUAUCCUGUCUGAAUAUGGGGGGACCAUCCUCCAAGGCUAAAUACUCCUGAUUGACCGAUAGUGAACCAGUACCGUGAGGGAAAGGCGAAAAGAACCCCGGCGAGGGGAGUGAAAAAGAACCUGAAACCGUGUACGUACAAGCAGUAGGAGCCCUCUUUAUGGGGUGACUGCGUACCUUUUGUAUAAUGGGUCAGCGACUUAUAUUCUGUAGCAAGGUUAACCGUAUAGGGGAGCCGUAGGGAAACCGAGUCUUAACUGGGCGAAUGAGUUGCAGGGUAUAGACCCGAAACCCGGUGAUCUAUCCAUGGGCAGGUUGAAGGUUGGGUAACACUAACUGGAGGACCGAACCGACUAAUGUUGAAAAAUUAGCGGAUGACUUGUGGAUGGGGGUGAAAGGCCAAUCAAACCGGGAGAUAGCUGGUUCUCCCCGAAAGCUAUUUAGGUAGCGCCUCGUGAACUCAUCUUCGGGGGUAGAGCACUGUUUCGACUAGGGGGUCAUCCCGACUUACCAACUCGAUGCAAACUGCGAAUACCGAAGAAUGUUAUCACGGGAGACACACGGCGGGUGCUAACGUCCGUCGUGAAGAGGGAAACAACCCAGACCGCCAGCUAAGGUCCCAAAGUCAUGGUUAAGUGGGAAACGAAGUGGGAAGGCUCAGACAGCCAGGAUGUUGGCUUAGAAGCAGCCAUCAUUUAAAGAAAGCGUAAUAGCUCACUGGUCGAGUCGGCCCGCGCGGAAGAUGUAACGGGGCUAAACCAUGCACCGAAGCUGCGGCAGCGACACAUAGUGUUGUUGGGUAGGGGAGCGUUCUGUAAGCCUGCGAAGGUGUACUGUGAGGUAUGCUGGAGGUAUCAGAAGUGCGAAUGCUGACAUAAGUAACGAUAAUGCGGGUGAAAAACCCGCACGCCGGAAGACCAAGGGUUCCUGUCCAACGUUAAUCGGGGCAGGGUGAGUCGACCCCUAAGGCGAGGCUGAAAAGCGUAGUCGAUGGGAAACGGGUUAAUAUUCCCGUACUGGUGGUAACUGCGAUGGGGGAACGGAGAAGGCUAGGUUGUCCGGGCGACGGUCGUCCCGGUUCAAGCAGGUAGGCAGAGUGAUUAGGCAAAUCCGGUCACUUAAUGCUGAGAUGUGAUGACGAACCACCAAGGUGGUGAAGCAAUUGAUGCCCCGCUUCCAGGAAAAGCCUCUAAGCUUCAGGUUACCAACAAUCGUACCCCAAACCGACACAGGUGGUCAGGUAGAGAAUACUCAGGCGCUUGAGAGAACUCGGGUGAAGGAACUAGGCAAAAUGGUGCCGUAACUUCGGGAGAAGGCACGCUGGCGGUAGGUAAAGUCCCUCGCGGACGGCGCUGAAGCCAGUCGAAGAUACCAGCUGGCUGCAACUGUUUAUUAAAAACACAGCACUGUGCAAACACGAAAGUGGACGUAUACGGUGUGACGCCUGCCCGGUGCUGGAAGGUUAAUUGAUGGGGUCAGCCGUAAGGCGAAGCUCCUGAUCGAAGCCCCAGUAAACGGCGGCCGUAACUAUAACGGUCCUAAGGUAGCGAAAUUCCUUGUCGGGUAAGUUCCGACCUGCACGAAUGGCGUAAUGAUGGCCAGGCUGUCUCCACCCGAGACUCAGUGAAAUUGAACUCGCUGUGAAGAUGCAGUGUACCCGCGGCAAGACGGAAAGACCCCGUGAACCUUUACUAUAGCUUGACACUGAACAUUGAGCCUUGAUGUGUAGGAUAGGUGGGAGGCUUUGAAGUGUGGACGCCAGUCUGCAUGGAGCCAACCUUGAAAUACCACCCUUUAACGUUUGAUGUUCUAACCUAGGCCCAUAAACUGGGUCGGGGACCGUGUCUGGUGGGUAGUUUGACUGGGGCGGUCUCCUCCUAAAGAGUAACGGAGGAGCACGAAGGUUGGCUAAGCAUGGUCGGACAUCAUGCGGUUAGUGCAAAGGCAUAAGCCAGCUUGACUGCGAGAGUGACGGCUCGAGCAGGUACGAAAGUAGGUCUUAGUGAUCCGGUGGUUCUGAAUGGAAGGGCCAUCGCUCAACGGAUAAAAGGUACUCCGGGGAUAACAGGCUGAUACCGCCCAAGAGUUCAUAUCGACGGCGGUGUUUGGCACCUCGAUGUCGGCUCAUCACAUCCUGGGGCUGAAGUAGGUCCCAAGGGUAUGGCUGUUCGCCAUUUAAAGUGGUACGCGAGCUGGGUUUAGAACGUCGUGAGACAGUUCGGUCCCUAUCUGCCGUGGGCGUUGGAAGAUUGAGAGGGGUUGCUCCUAGUACGAGAGGACCGGAGUGAACGCACCACUGGUGUUCGGGUUGUCAUGCCAAUGGCAUUGCCCGGUAGCUAAGUGCGGAAGAGAUAACCGCUGAAAGCAUCUAAGCGGGAAACUUGCCUCGAGAUGAGUCUUCCCUGUCACUUUAAGUGACCUAAAGGAACGUUUAAGACUAAGACGUUGAUAGGCUGGGUGUGUAAGCGUAGCGAUACGUUGAGCUAACCAGUACUAAUGAACCGUGAGGCUUAACCUGACAACACCG
RNAcentral lists this ribosomal RNA (2922 nucleotides) under Proteus mirabilis. RNAcentral describes it as "bacterial LSU rRNA". It matches the Rfam family "Bacterial large subunit ribosomal RNA". The record is from RNAcentral. Lineage: Bacteria; Pseudomonadati; Pseudomonadota; Gammaproteobacteria; Enterobacterales; Morganellaceae.